This 373-nucleotide unclassified non-coding RNA is filed under the name uncultured bacterium. RNAcentral describes it as "contains 16S-23S intergenic spacer region". The record is from RNAcentral.
UCCGGUUUGUCACCGGCAGUCUCAUUAGAGUGCCCUUUCGUAGCAACUAAUGACAAGGGUUGCGCUCGUUGCGGGACUUAACCCAACACCUCACGGCACGAGCUGACGACAGCCAUGCAGCACCUGAACCGGCAGUCCCCGAAGGGAAGAUCCUAUUUCUAGGACGAUCCGCCGUUGUCUAGCCCAGGUAAGGUUCUUCGCGUUGCGUCGAAUUAAACCACAUGCUCCGCUGCUUGUGCGGGCCCCCGUCAAUUCCUUAGAGUUUUAGCCUUGCGGCCGUACUCCCCAGGCGGGACACUUAAUGCGUUAGCUGCGGCACGGGAGGAGUCGACACCUCCCACACCUAGUGUCCAUCGUUUACGGCGUGGACUAC